CAGUGUACCCGCGGCAAGACGGAAAGACCCCGUGAACCUUUACUAUAGCUUGACACUGAACAUUGAGCCUUGAUGUGUAGGAUAGGUGGGAGGCUUUGAAGUGUGGACGCCAGUCUGCAUGGAGCCGGCCUUGAAAUACCACCCUUUAAUGUUUGAUGUUCUAACGUGGACCCGUAAUCCGGGUUGCGGACAGUGUCUGGUGGGUAGUUUGACUGGGGCGGUCUCCUCCUAAAGAGUAACGGAGGAGCACGAAGGUUGGCUAAUCCUGGUCGGACAUCAGGAGGUUAGUGCAAUGGCAUAAGC
RNAcentral lists this ribosomal RNA (303 nucleotides) under Escherichia coli. RNAcentral's name for it is "partial 23S ribosomal RNA". It matches the Rfam family "Bacterial large subunit ribosomal RNA", at positions 2062 to 2364 of the family's 2925-position model. The record is from RNAcentral. Lineage: Bacteria; Pseudomonadati; Pseudomonadota; Gammaproteobacteria; Enterobacterales; Enterobacteriaceae.